RNAcentral lists this ribosomal RNA (468 nucleotides) under uncultured bacterium. RNAcentral describes it as "partial 16S ribosomal RNA". It matches the Rfam family "Bacterial small subunit ribosomal RNA", at positions 28 to 507 of the family's 1533-position model. The record is from RNAcentral.
GACGAACGCUGGCGGCGUGCUUAACACAUGCCAGUCGAACGGAAAGGCCCUGCUUUUGUGGGGUGCUCGAGUGGCGAACGGGUGAGUAACACGUGAGUAACCUGUCCUUGACUUUGGGAUAACUUCAGGAAACUGGGGCUAAUACCGGAUAGGAGCUCCUGCUGCAUGGUGGGGGUUGGAAAGUUUCGGCGGUUGGGGAUGGACUCGCGGCUUAUCCGCUUGUUGGUGGGGUAGUGGCUUACCAAGGCUUUGACGGGUAGCCGGCCUGAGAGGGUGACCGGCCACAUUGGGACUGAGAUACGGCCCAGACGCCUACGGGAGGCAGCAGUGGGGAAUAUUGCACAGUGGGCGGAAGCCUGAUGCAGCAACGCCGCGUGCGGGAUGACGGCCUUCGGGGUGUAAACCGCUUUCGCCUGUGACGAAGCGUGAGUGACGGUAAUGGGUAAAGAAGCACCGGCUAACUACGUG